This 477-nucleotide ribosomal RNA is filed under the name uncultured bacterium. Its description in RNAcentral is "SSU rRNA". It matches the Rfam family "Bacterial small subunit ribosomal RNA", at positions 26 to 518 of the family's 1533-position model. The record is from RNAcentral.
AGGACGAACGCUGGCGGCGUGCUUAACACAUGCAAGUCGAGCGGUAAGGCUCCUUCGGGAGUACACGAGCGGCGAACGGGUGAGUAACACGUGAGCAAUCUGCCCUUCACAUCGGGAUAACCUCCGGAAACGGAGGCUAAUACCGGAUACGACCACCGAUGGCAUCAUCUGGUGGUGGAAAGUUCCGGCGGUGAAGGAUGAGCUCGCGGCCUAUCAGCUUGUUGGUGGGGUAACGGCCCACCAAGGCGACGACGGGUAGCCGGCCUGAGAGGGUGACCGGCCACACUGGGACUGAGACACGGCCCAGACUCCUACGGGAGGCAGCAGUGGGGAAUAUUGGACAAUGGGCGAAAGCCUGAUCCAGCAACGCCGCGUGAGGGAUGACGGCCUUCGGGUUGUAAACCUCUUUCAUCCACGACGAAGCGAAAGUGACGGUAGUGGAGAAGAGCACCGGCCAACUACGUGCCAGCAGCCGAC